GCGGGUGUAGCUCAGUUGGUAGAGCAUCACGUUGCCAACGUGAAUGUCGACGGUUCGAGUCCGUUCACCCGCU
Molecule: transfer RNA, 73 nt
Filed under: Planctomycetaceae bacterium
Lineage: Bacteria; Pseudomonadati; Planctomycetota; Planctomycetia; Planctomycetales; Planctomycetaceae
Also listed under: 1 other name
Description: tRNA-Gly
Rfam family: tRNA
About the family: Transfer RNA (tRNA) molecules are approximately 80 nucleotides in length. Their secondary structure includes four short double-helical elements and three loops (D, anti-codon, and T loops).
Source: RNAcentral